UGCACUUAUGUAUGUUUUUGUUCAACUUGUGGACAAAGACUUAUAAAUAGGUGCAAAAAAUAAAUCUCUUUUGCAACCCAGAACUCAUUGUUCAGUAUGAGUUUUGAUACAUAUAAGAAGGGAUAUU
This 127-nucleotide small nucleolar RNA is filed under the name Piliocolobus tephrosceles (Ugandan red Colobus). RNAcentral describes it as "Small nucleolar RNA SNORA40 (ENSPTEG00000001444.1)". It matches the Rfam family "Small nucleolar RNA SNORA40". Rfam says of the family: The snoRNA ACA 40 belongs to the H/ACA family of snoRNAs and guides the pseudouridylation of 28S rRNA subunit at position U4565. The record is from Rfam by way of RNAcentral. Lineage: Eukaryota; Metazoa; Chordata; Mammalia; Primates; Cercopithecidae.